Molecule: ribosomal RNA, 1370 nt
Filed under: uncultured bacterium
Lineage: Bacteria
Description: bacterial SSU rRNA
Rfam family: Bacterial small subunit ribosomal RNA
Source: RNAcentral
GAUGAACGCUGGCGGCGUGCCUAAUACAUGCAAGUCGAGCGAACGGACGAGAAGCUUGCUUCUCUGAUGUUAGCGGCGGACGGGUGAGUAACACGUGAAUAACCUACCUGUAAGACUGGGAUAACUUCGGGAAACCGGAGCUAAUACCGGAUAAUAUUUUGAACCGCAUGGUUCAAAAGUGAAAGACGGUCUUGCUGUCACUUAUAGAUGGAUCCGCGCUGCAUUAGCUAGUUGGUAAGGUAACGGCUUACCAAGGCAACGAUGCAUAGCCGACCUGAGAGGGUGAUCGGCCACACUGGAACUGAGACACGGUCCAGACUCCUACGGGAGGCAGCAGUAGGGAAUCUUCCGCAAUGGGCGAAAGCCUGACGGAGCAACGCCGCGUGAGUGAUGAAGGUCUUCGGAUCGUAAAACUCUGUUAUUAGGGAAGAACAUAUGUGUAAGUAACUGUGCACAUCUUGACGGUACCUAAUCAGAAAGCCACGGCUAACUACGUGCCAGCAGCCGCGGUAAUACGUAUGUGGCAAGCGUUAUCCGGAAUUAUUGGGCGUAAAGCGCGCGUAGCGGUUUUUUAGUCUGAUGUGAAAGCCCACGGCUCAACCGUGGAGGGUCAUUGGAAACUGGAAAACUUGAGUGCAGAAGAGGAAAGUGGAAUUCCAUGUGUAGCGGUGAAAUGCGCAGAGAUAUGGAGGAACACCAGUGGCGAAGGCGACUUUCUGGUCUGUAACUGACGCUGAUGUGCGAAAGCGUGGGGAUCAAACAGGAUUAGAUACCCUGGUAGUCCACGCCGUAAACGAUGAGUGCUAAGUGUUAGGGGGUUUCCGCCCCUUAGUGCCGCAGCUAACGCAUUAAGCACUCCGCCUGGGGAGUACGACCGCAAGGUUGAAACUCAAAGGAAUUGACGGGGACCCGCACAAGCGGUGGAGCAUGUGGUUUAAUUCGAAGCAACGCGAAGAACCUUACCAAAUCUUGACAUCCUUUGACAACUCUAGAGAUAGAGCUUUCCCCUUCGGGGGACAAAGUGACAGGUGGUGCAUGGUUGUCGUCAGCUCGUGUCGUGAGAUGUUGGGUUAAGUCCCGCAACGAGCGCAACCCUUAAGCUUAGUUGCCAUCAUUAAGUUGGGCACUCUAAGUUGACUGCCGGUGACAAACCGGAGGAAGGUGGGGAUGACGUCAAAUCAUCAUGCCCCUUAUGAUUUGGGCUACACACGUGCUACAAUGGACAAUACAAAGGGCAGCGAAACCGCGAGGUCAAGCAAAUCCCAUAAAGUUGUUCUCAGUUCGGAUUGUAGUCUGCAACUCGACUACAUGAAGCUGGAAUCGCUAGUAAUCGUAGAUCAGCAUGCUACGGUGAAUACGUUCCCGGGUCU